AGAGUCUUUCCCAAUUAGCAAUCAUAACACCUGAAGCUUUGAAUGGUUGUUGUAUGUUUAUCUUUCUCUUCAAGCUCACUCUGCUGGCUCUCAUAACCAAGUUCAGACAACCUUCUGUCUGCCAGCCACAAAGACAACGCCCACAGCCCCCACCCCAGACGGAGAUCGGAGUCAUUUCCAUGAUCGCUGUGUGUGUUCUGCUGCCUUUUUAUUUAAUUGUGCUUUAUGGUGUGCCUGUUUCCAUCAAGGAUUUGCGCGGGCUUACAAUAUUAAAAAACACACAUCCAACAGAAAUAUUUCAGAAACACACAAAACUCAGAACAAAACUCAAGCCACAGGAAGGGAAAGAUGUUCCAACGUGGGUGUUCCAUGACUUAAUUUUUCACGUGUGGUAAAACAGAGUCAUGAGAAGUGCAAUACUGAGUAAUAGGAAGGUGUCUUUAGGAGUUUUACUCUGUCUGGAUUUUAAUUAUUGUGCUGUUUGCUUAAAUUCUCCAGGUCUCACUCUUCCCAUCACUAAAAACAGGGACAACAGCCCUACCUCAUAGGAUGGAGAACAAAGUAAGAUAAGUUUUGGUUUUGUUUGCAAGCACUGUUGGACAUUUGCAUGAGCUGUUUGGCCUGUGGGCUCUGUGAUCACCAAG
Long non-coding RNA from Bos taurus (domestic cattle), 644 nucleotides. Lineage: Eukaryota; Metazoa; Chordata; Mammalia; Artiodactyla; Bovidae. The record is from Ensembl.